CUUUUACUCGUGGCGUUUCUCUACAAAAGAAUCCUAUUAUUAUUAUUAAAAUCCUAUUGAUCUAGCAGUGCCAUAACUUGGGAUCAUAACACCAAACAUAGGAAAUAUAAACACAACAUGAGAUGGAGGCCAUGGAUUUGCAGUACAUUAUUAAAAUCCUUUUGAAAGUUGCACUACCUAGCAGACGUAGCCAAGAAAGAGGAUGAGGAUUUUAAUGUCUCUCUGUUACCCAAAUAUGGAUGCUCAUCCUUGUACAUUUUUUAUACUCAUUAAAUUGUUUGAACGGGCAGCUCCAAGUUUCAGUUUUGCCUAUAGUUAUUAUUUUUUUCACAAACGUGUAUGCCAUCUUCUCUUUGGUCUGAGCUGGCAGCAAGUGGAAUUUUUCUUUUCAAGGUCUUUUUGUCGUCUGCCAUCGUCGUCGCAAGAUUGGUUAGAACUUUGCUUGCUUAACAGUUUCUGAAUUGAGUUUUGUUGAUAUGAAACCAUGGUUUUGAUGAUAAACAUUUUUAUAUUGGCGUUUCCAAAAGUUUAUAUCAUGAUGUACUGCAUUGUUUCAAAAUCUGCUCUUCUUUUGUAUUAAACUAAUAUCAGCACCAGUCGGCUCCUCCUAUCCAACUCCCCUUUCAUUAGCAUUUCCCUCACCUACACUUAUUGUGUAUUUACAGCUUCAUACCAGACUUCUCAAGGAACACAGGGUGAGGAUGACCCUACUAAUACAACUGUGAGUAAUUUUAUUCACAAUAAUUUUGUAUGCUUUCUUUAUCUAAAUAAUUAAGUACUAAUUUAUUUCUUGAUUGCAGAUAUUUGUUGGUAAUUUGGACUCUAAUAUCACAGAUGAGCAUCUGAGGCAGAUUUUUGGCCAAUAUGGACAGUUACUUCAUGUAAAAAUACCAGCAGGAAAACGAUGUGGAUUUGUUCAAUUUGCUGGACAUUACCAUUGUUACCUUCUCAUCACACACUUAAUUUAAACACCAAGAAAUCAGUAUGAAGGAUUUAUCAUGUUCUCUGCAUCUGCUAUAACAGAAGCUGUGCUGAGGAAGCUUUACGAAUGUUAAAUGGAACCCAGUUGGGGGGACAAAGCAUUAGACUCUCAUGGGGCCGUAGUCCUUCAAACAAACAGGUACAAAUAAUCUCAUUUUUCGAUUUUCGAUUUUUCCUAUUUUUAGAACAGGUUUAUUAGUUCUCACUAAUGGUGAUUGUAACCAUAGUCAUCUAUUCAAAUUUUCGAGCUCAGGUUGAUCAAAUCCAGUCCAAUGCUGGAUAUUAUGGAUAUGCCCCUGGAUAUGAAACCUAUGGAUAUGCUCAAGCAGCUCAGGAUCCAAAUUUGUACUACGGAGGUUACCAAGGAUAUGGAAACUACCCACCGCCCCCUCAACAACCACCUCAGGUAGAUAUGCCUAUAGAUUUGAUGGGAAAACCCUUUUUACCUGAAAAUCAUUAUUAACAUACUUUGCAUGGGAGGGAGGACUAGUUGAACACUGUACAUUUACAUUUAUGCAAUGCUGAUUAUUGACUAGUUUUCCCAUUUCUUGUUCUUUUUACUUCAUCUUUCAUCAUUAGGAUCAACAGUGGUUUGUUGACACUCCUUCAUAUCAGCUUCAUUGGUACAGAAAUAUGGGUUUGCUCUAUCUUGUGUAUGAGGAGCAAAAAUAGUGGGAUAUUGAUAUAUGUUUUUGUAUUUUGUACGAUGUUAUUGAAACUGGCGAGAAAGUGCCUCUAUCAGCAAGAAGUUAGCUUCUUCACCAUGUCAGAUGCGUAUGUAUGUAUGUGUAUCCAAACACUAGAGAGCAUUGUUCAUUGUCUUUUACUCGUGGCGUUUCUCUACAAAAGAAUCCUAUUAUUAUUAUUAAAAUCCUAUUGAUCUAGCAGUGCCAUAACUUGGGAUCAUAACACCAAACAUAGGAAAUAUAAACACAACAUGAGAUGGAGGCCAUGGAUUUGCAGUACAUUAUUAAAAUCCUUUUGAAAGUUGCACUACCUAGCAGACGUAGCCAAGAAAGAGGAUGAGGAUUUUAAUGUCUCUCUGUUACCCAAAUAUGGAUGCUCAUCCUUGUACAUUUUUUAUACUCAUUAAAUUGUUUGAACGGGCAGCUCCAAGUUUCAGUUUUGCCUAUAGUUAUUAUUUUUUUCACAAACGUGUAUGCAAUCUUCUCUUUGGUCUGAGCUGGCAGCAAGUGGAAUUUUUCUUUUCAAGGUCUUUUUGUCGUCUGCCAUCGUCGUCGCAAGAUUGGUUAGAACUUUGCUUGCUUAACAGUUUCUGAAUUGAGUUUUGUUGAUAUGAAACCAUGGUUUUGAUGAUAAACAUUUUUAUAUUGGCGUUUCCAAAAGUUUAUAUCAUGAUGUACUGCAUUGUUUCAAAAUCUGCUCUUCUUUUGUAUUAAACUAAUAUCAGCACCAGUCGGCUCCUCCUAUCCAACUCCCCUUUCAUUAGCAUUUCCCUCACCUACACUUAUUGUGUAUUUACAGCUUCAUACCAGACUUCUCAAGGAACACAGGGUGAGGAUGACCCUACUAAUACAACU
Molecule: long non-coding RNA, 2522 nt
Filed under: Olea europaea (common olive)
Lineage: Eukaryota; Viridiplantae; Streptophyta; Magnoliopsida; Lamiales; Oleaceae
Description: long non-coding RNA (OEUR_LNC006690)
Source: RNAcentral